AUGGCACUGUUUCGCAGUCUGUUUGAGUGGGUUCAAUGUUUUGUUCACCGCAUACCCAAAAGGAGAAAAAAACAGGGGGUGCAGAAGUGCACAGAAGCAGAAAGUACCCCAAUGGAAGGGAUGAGGAGGCCCCUUGAUGUUGGUGAUACUGACCAGAAGUACCUAAAUGAUGAGGAAAAAAGAGAGGUGGGGAGGAAAAGAAAGUUAAAGAAGGAAAGAAAGAUGGUGGACGAGAGAGAAUCGGGCAGAAUGGAAGAGGAGACCAAAGACCCAACUCCAUUGCUAAUCGAGGUCAAAGCACAACCAACUCCACCAGCCGCUGAAGCCAAAACCCCGGCUAGUUCUUCCUUCAUAAAGUCAUCAGUGAAAGAGCCACUGGUGGCUAAAAGCGCCUGUCGAAACCUGCCUCCAAUGGCCACCAAGACCAGACCUCCUUCAUCAGGGGAAGAACCAAUGCUGGUUCAAAAGGUAUCACAACAACACCCUGAUUUAUCAGCCACUGAGGUUCAACCCCUUCCUGGUUCUUCCUUCAUAAAUCCUCCUUUAUCAGUGGCAAAUUUUGCUCCUAAAGCUACUGAGACCAAACCUCUGCGUGGUUCUUUUGUGGUGGACCCUGAGGUGGUUCAAAGAGCCUCUCGAAACCUGGUUCCAGCAGCCAUCAAGAAUAUAUCACUGAAAUCAGUGACUAAAUUAUUGAUUCGUCAAAGAACCUCAAGACAUUUUGCUCCAAAACCUACUGAGAGCAAACCUCCGCGUGGAUCUUUUAUGCUAGAACCCAAGAUGGUUCAAAGGGCAUCUCAACAUCUGGCUCCACCAGCUGAAGAACCAUCAGUGACAGAACCAUUGGUCCUUCAGCAUACGUCGACAAAAUCUCUGUCACAUUCAAUGGAAGAACAAUCGAUGGAACAAGUGAUGCUUCCUUCAAGACAAAUUCCUAAAUGUGCUGAGGUGAAGCCAAAGCCAGCCAGUUCAUCGCGCAGCCUAACGGACACUGAAUCUGAAGAGGAUGGGUCUGUGGAGCACACAGAGAGGACAAUACCUUCCAGUGAGUCUGAGACUAUUCACGAGCAAACGCUGGAGGCUGGGGUGAAUCAGAAACCAAUGUUUGAGAAGAUCCAUCCUAUAGUUCUGGAACAGUCGAAUGACUCUGAGAGAAAGAAGUGUGGAGACUCCAAAGCUGAUGCUUUACAAAAGCCUAAGAAACUGGAUGAACAAAUGAUGAGGCUGUUCUGUGUAGCCUACAGCCCUUGUCCUAAGAAAGAGAACCAACAACCUUCAAGAGAAGGUCCAGAGAAGCCUAAGAAAAGAAGAAAAACAAGAGCUGGUCUUUUCCGCUGGGCAGAGAAAUGGUUACAAACGAUAAUUGAAGCAAACGAAGAGUCAGAAAAGGAUGAAAAAUCUUGA
Molecule: long non-coding RNA, 1404 nt
Organism: Cyprinus carpio (common carp)
Lineage: Eukaryota; Metazoa; Chordata; Actinopteri; Cypriniformes; Cyprinidae
Source: Ensembl